UAUGUGAUCGUCUCUCGCAUAUCAAUAAGCGGAGGAAAAGAAACUAACAAGGAUUCCCCUAGUAACGGCGAGUGAAGCGGGAAGAGCUCAAAUUUGAAAUCUUAAAGGGUUUCCCUUUACGAAUUGUAGUUUAAAGAAGUGUUUUCUGUUGAGAUUUUGGUAAAAGUUCUUUGGAAUAGGACAUCAUAGAGGGUGAGAAUCCCGUAUUUGACCUUUACUUUCAACUUUGUGAUACACUUUCAAAGAGUCGGAUUGUUUGGGAAUGCAGUCCAAAAUGGGUGGUAAAUUUCAUCUAAAGCUAAAUAUUGGCGAGAGACCGAUAGCGAACAAGUACCGUGAGGGAAAGAUGAAAAGAACUUUGAAAAGAGAGUUAAACAGUACGUGAAACUGUCAAAAGGGAAGCGUUUGACACCAGUGUUGUUUUUCUGAAAAUCAAUUAAAGAACUGUUUAUGCUAAGUUGUUUAGACUUUAUCAGCUAACUGUUUAGUUUUGAGCUUUUCUUUAAUGCACUUUUCAGUUAACAAGUCAACAUCAAUUUCUUUUGCUGUAAAAAAGCUUGAGGAAGGUGGCUUGAGAUUCGUCUUAAGUGUUUAUAGCCUCUUGCCUAUGCAGUCGGAGAGAUUGAGGUCUGCAGCGUAGAUCCUUCGGGGCUAAAUGCAUUUGUGCUAAGUUAUAGCAUUUUAUAGACAACUUGUUGACUAUGAUUUGUCUUGUAGCUUACUCGCUUAUGUUAUUUUACCUACGCUUAGGAUGUUGAGUCAUCACACAUCUCU
This 774-nucleotide ribosomal RNA is filed under the name uncultured Neocallimastigales. RNAcentral's name for it is "partial large subunit ribosomal RNA". It matches the Rfam family "Eukaryotic large subunit ribosomal RNA", at positions 24 to 614 of the family's 3401-position model. Lineage: Eukaryota; Fungi; Neocallimastigomycota; Neocallimastigomycetes; Neocallimastigales. The record is from RNAcentral.